CCUACGGGAGACAGCAGUGAGGAAUAUUGGUCAAUGGGCGCGAGCCUGAACCAGCCAAGUCGCGUGAGGGAGGACGGCCCUACGGGUUGUAAACCUCUUUUGCCGGGGAGCAACGGGCGUCACGUGUGGUGCCACUGAGAGUACCCGGAGAAAAAGCAUCGGCUAACUCCGUGCCAGCAGCCGCGGUAAUACGGAGGAUGCGAGCGUUAUCCGGCUUGAUUGGGUUUAAAGGGUGCGUAGGCGGUUCGUUAAGUCAGUGGUCAAAUUGAGGGGCUCAACCCCUUCCCGCCAUCGAAACUGGCGCUCUUGGGUGGAAGAGAAGUAUGCGGAAUGCGUGGUGUAGCGGUGAAAUGCAUAGAUAUCACGCAGAACCCCGAUUGCGAAGGCAGUAUGCCGGCUUCCGACUGACGCUGAAGCACGAAAGCGCGGGGAUCGAACAGGAUUAGAUACCCCAGUAGUC
This 460-nucleotide ribosomal RNA is filed under the name uncultured bacterium. Its description in RNAcentral is "partial 16S ribosomal RNA". It matches the Rfam family "Bacterial small subunit ribosomal RNA", at positions 338 to 795 of the family's 1533-position model. The record is from RNAcentral.